AAAAGAAACCAACCAGGAUUCCCUCAGUAGCGGCGAGCGAAGCGGGAAGAGCCCAGGAUGAAAACCAAAGCUUUUGUUUUGGAUUGUAUCCGGUUAAUCCUCGGUUGCGGAUGUAUGGGUAAGUCACCUGGAAAGGUGCACCGCGGAGGGUGAAAGUCCCGUCCAUCCCAUGUGUUCGCGCCGGUUACGGAUUGACUCAGGCGAGUCGGGUUGCUUGGGAAUGCAGCCCUAAUAGGUGGUAAACCGCAUCUAAGGCUAAAUAAUGGUGGGAGACCGAUAGCAAACAAGUACCGUGAGGGAAAGAUGGAAAGAACUCUGAAAAGAGAGUGCCAAGGACUUGAAACCGUCACGGGGGAAGCGAGUUGCGGAGGAUGUCUGAGAUGGUGUGCUCAGCAGCCUCUCUUCGGAGGGCUGUGCAUUCAUGCCUCUCAGGGCCGAUGCGGCUGGGGCCGCGGUGAAUUCACAUCGUGUUUCGCCCUGGUGAGGGAUCCACUUUAUGUGUGAGGGCAUCGGCGUUUCACAGCGCAACACGACCCGUCUUGAAACACGGACCAAGGAGUCUAGCGGAGCAGCGAGUCGAAGACUUAAUGAAAGUCAUGGGCGCAGUGAAAGCAAAUGUUAUAAAUUGAUCCAAAUUGAGGAGGCGUGGCGCUUUUAGCAAAAUGACCUACCUUGAGCUGCUGUGCUGGGACCCGAAAGAUGGUGAACUAUGCCGGAGUAGGGCAAAGCCAGAGGAAACUCUGGUGGAGGCUCGUAGCGGUGCUGACGUGCAAAUCGCUCGUCGAACUCGGGUAUAGGGGCGAAAGACUAAUCGAACCAUCUAGUAGCUGGUUCCCUCCGAAGUUUCUCUCAGGAUAGCGGGCUGGAGUGGUGUUGUUUCUGUGCGGUAAAGCGAAUGAUUUGCGCAUUUGGGGACCAAAGGUCCUCUGGCGAUUCUCAAACUUUAAAUGCGCGAGAGCCGUCUGGUUGCUUUACGGAACCAGGCGGGCAGAAAACGCCAGCCUUGUGGGCCACUUUUGGUAAGCAGAACUGGCGAUAAGGGAUGAACCUUAAGCACGUUAAGGCGCCGAACUACGCGCUUAUAGACCCCACAAAAGGUGUUGAUUCAUUUAGACAGCAGGAACGGUGGCCAUGGAAGUCGGAAUCCAAUAAGGAGUGUGUAACAACUCACCUGCCGAAUGCAUUAGCCCUGAAAAUGGAUGGCGCUCAAGCGCGUGGCCGACACCGUGCCGUUGGAUUUACUGAUGAAUCCGAUGAGUAGGAGGGCGUGGGGGUGCUUGGGAAGUGCGCGCGCAAGCGUGGAUGGAAGCGCCUCUAGUGCAGAUCUUGGUGGUAGUAGCAAAUAUUCAAGCGAGAUCCUUGAAGGGCGAAGUGGGGAAGGGUUCCACGCGAACAUUGAUUGGACGUGGGUGAGUCGUUCCUAAGCGAAGCGGCAAUCGCGCUUGCAUUCGCGAAAGGGAAGCCAGUUAAAAUUCUGGCGCACGGGCACGGACAUAGUGGUGACACGCAUUUUUGCAUGAUGGGUGGGGGCGAGCACGCUGGCGAGCGCCUCGGGCAGAGUUGUCUUUUCUGUUUAAAUUUCUUGUGGUUGGUGUGGAAGAACGUUAUGUUGAGAAACACAACCCGGGAUGAAGAGCGCUGCGAUUUGUGCAGCGUCCGGAGCGCGCUCGACGGCCCUUGAAACCUUGUUCUCCCAAUAGUCUCUUUGGAGGCUGAGAGUCCGUGGCGUGACGUACCGAUAACCGCAUCAGGUCCCCAGGUCUCAGACACUCUGCUCAGUAUGAAUAAUGCAGGUAAGGGAAUUCGGCAAAAUAGACCCGUAACUUUGGGAAAAGGGUUGGCUCUAGUGGUGCGUGUGGGAAAUGGUUGUUGCUUCUGGGCGCAUUGUGGGCACGGGAAGCGGGCGGAUGGCUUCGGUCUGAUGUCUGUGUCCUGAGCCUGCGGGCGUUUAGUGCUUCAAUCUACCUGCACGUUUGCACCGAACUAGAACUGCAACGGGCAAAGGGAAUCCGACUGUUUAAUUAAAACAAAGCGUUGCGAUGGCCGGGGAACGGUGAUGACGCAACGUGAUUUCUGCUCAGUGCUCUGAAUGUCAAAGUGAAGAGGUUCAAUGAAGCGCGGGUAAACAGCGGGAGUAACUAUGACUCUCUUAAGGUAGCCAAAUGCCUUGUCAUCUAAUUAGUGACGCGCAUGAAUGGAUUAACGAGAUUCCUACUGUCCCUAUCUGCUUCUAGCGAAACCACAGCCGCGGGAACGGGCGCGGUAAACUCUGCGGGGAAAGAAGACCCUGUUGAGCUUGACUCUAUUCUACAACUGUUGGACGAGUUUUGAGGUGUAGAUAUAGGUGGGAGCUUUCGGGCGACUGUGAAAUACCACUACUCUUAAUCUCGUUUUACUUAACGCGUAACAUGGGGGAACCUGGCGACAGGUCUUGUAGCGACAACACUCGGAACAUUUGUUUCUGGGUGGACCCACGCGCGUAACACUUCUAGGAGGGGAGUUUGGCUGGGGCGGCACAUCUUCUACAAGACAACGAAGGUGUCCCAAGAUAAGCUCAGUGAGAACAGAAAUCUCACGUAGCGCAAAAGGGUAAAAGCUUGUUUGAACUGCGUAGUGAAUGGCUGCGCAGAAUGCGAAAGCACGGCCUAUCGAUCCUUUCGAGAUAAUUCACGGUUUGAAGCGAGAGGUGUCAGAAAAGUUACCACAGGGAUAACUGGCUUGUGGCGGCCAAGAGCUCAAAUCGACGCCGC
RNAcentral lists this ribosomal RNA (2750 nucleotides) under Hildenbrandia rubra. RNAcentral's name for it is "LSU rRNA". It matches the Rfam family "Eukaryotic large subunit ribosomal RNA", at positions 57 to 2866 of the family's 3401-position model. Lineage: Eukaryota; Rhodophyta; Florideophyceae; Hildenbrandiales; Hildenbrandiaceae. The record is from RNAcentral.